AAAGUCAGUGGAUCCAUUUACAACAGAAGAUCUCUGGCUCUUAGGAACUGAAACUUGCUUGAUUAAUGACAGGUUUCAGAGUAGCAGCCGAGUUAGUCUGUAUCCGAAAGGGGAAAAGGCGUACUUGUGGCACCUUAGAGACUAACCAAUUUAUUUGAGCAUGAGCUUUCGUGAGCUACAGCU
This is a long non-coding RNA of Chelonia mydas (Green sea turtle), 183 nucleotides long. RefSeq lists it as uncharacterized. The transcript has 3 exons. The record is from RefSeq and is a predicted model, not a curated record. NCBI's taxonomy places the organism in Eukaryota, Metazoa, Chordata, Testudines, Cheloniidae.